CUUUGGGCACCAAUGGGAUGGAUGGUCAGACAGAAGGAAGGAGAUCUGGGAAAACCAAGGUCUUUAGAUGGAAGUGCUGUGGAAGAGGAACCAUGCCCAUGGGGCCUCACUGGCAUCUGGACCUGAUUUAGAUGAAAGAUCCCGGAUGUCAAGGGAUGUCUUCAAGGAACUCCAUCCGAUUUGUUGAACAUGACCCCCUCUGCCUGGGUCCUUGCAGCCGUCCUUCAACAAAGUGGGCUUUUCCAGGCGUUCUCCUACCACAUCCUUUAAGAAUGUUUCCCAGAACUCCCCUACUACACUCCUUCUGUCCCUAAAUAAACCAGAUGUUCCCGGUGCUGAUCUUCUAUCUCCCUGCUUGUCUUAAGUGGGAUCUUAAAAGAAAUAUGAAAGAUGAAUCUGGUUGUUUUCAAAUCCUGGGGAAUUACUUCCAAAUAAGUGAAUUUCAGUUACUGCCUCUUUACCUCAUCUGUUCUUCCCAUGA
Molecule: long non-coding RNA, 481 nt
Organism: Manis pentadactyla (Chinese pangolin)
Lineage: Eukaryota; Metazoa; Chordata; Mammalia; Pholidota; Manidae
Exons: 3
Source: RefSeq, a predicted model, not a curated record